CCCGGGUUCACGCCAUCUUGCCACUAAACCUGAUUUACCAACAUAACCUGUUUCUGGCCAUGCUGUGAAUCUGCAUUCUUUACUGUGUCCUUGGGAUACUAGGUCUCUGAUCAAGUGCCACAUCUUUAGAGAAGCUUUUCCAAACAACCGAUUAUGAAGUACACAUUAACAAUGAAGCCUCUUUUCAAGUAAAGAAGCCUUCAAGCUCCAGAUAAUCCUCAGUGAGGUAUACUGUCCGCUCAAUAUCCAAGAGUCACCCUUCUACAAGGGACCUCUAGACUGCCCAUAAGUGAGACAUGACAGAGGUAAAGUCAUGCUCCUGUCUCCCUUGGACCUGGCUGGAAACUGCAUUCAUCAACCCAUGGAACCACCCCCCUGCCAUGAAAGCUAGCAAGAGGCCAAGACCCACAGAACAACCACCAUCAUCCCUCUGUCAGCAGGAAGCGGUUACAAAAGACUAACCUUUGCCCAUUUUCCCCAAAGAAUUGGGGUCUUGGAAUCUUGAGGGAGGAAAUGUUACAGUAGGUAGCUAGUCAGACAUGAGCAGAGCAGAAGAGGGCUUACACACACACACACACACACACACACACACACCCCACACACAAAGAAUCCUGGGCAACCAUCAGGCGAUUGUAAGGUGGUUGUUAACUGUGUCUCUAAAAUAACGAUUGGUCACAACCAGUGCAAUGGAAAGGCAGUCUCUCAAUAAACAGAAACACCUGGAGCUGAUGAUCAGCAGCUUCCUGAUCAGGUCUCAGAAGUUUGGCAAGCUGGCCUACACAUGCGCACUAAGAGGCAAAAUGGCACAGUUUAACUGGUAUAUGACUUCCAAUGGACAUUCAGCAUGUAAGGGAAAAAUGCCUCAAGUAAGCAUGCAUACAACUCCACUAAACACACUGUGCAUGCUCCCCUCUCAAGUGCUGGCAGGCCAGUGCACAUGGGGACAGCCCACCCCAAAGAAAGUCUCAAGGGUGUAGGGAUGCAAGACCCCGGGAAUAUGCCAAUGUAUUAAACCCUAAGUCAAAAGGUCAAAUCAUGCACUUGUCUUUCAAGUCACCCACUUGACCCUCUUCCAAGUGUACUUUCCUUCCUUUUGUUACUACUCUAAAGCUUUUUAAUAAAUUUUCACUUUUUGAAUUCUUGUCUGCAACUUAGACUAACCUUGCUUGUUUCUCUGAACCAACCAGUGAUCUCUGGCUCGACUCAGAAGCAACAAAUAGAUGGGUAAUGUAAAAAUAUGGAUUAAUAUUCUAAUUCUGGGGGUACAAAUCUAAAAUUUGCUUCAGUCUCUCCUUCUACCUAUGCCCCUCAGUUAAAUUCUUUCUUCUGAGGAGGCUAGAAUUGAGGUUGCUGCAGACCUGUACCGAUUCACCACCAGUAGCAGGUACUAGAAAGAUUAAGGAGAGGAACAUUCUGGUUAUGAAGGUCCAAUUCUCUUACCAUAUGUUCCAAGUUGUUUUUUUGUUUUGUUUUGUUUUAAUUCUCUGUAGUCCUGGGAACUGCCUCACUCUCAUAUUUGAGUUCUGGGAUAUUGUUGGUGAUAGUCUCUGCAGUGUAUAUUGGUUUUUAUAUUUUGUGGAGGGGGAGUGAAGCCAGUUUGCUUCUAUGCUGCCAUUUUGAAACCCUGCCACAAGUCAUUUAUUCCUGUUGUUGGAAAAUAUUCCAUUGAUUAGGUGUAAUACCAUUUGUUUAUCCAUUCACCUAUUGGGAAAGAUCUUAUUUGCUUCAAGUUUUGGCAAUUGUAAAUAAAACUGCUAUAAAUCUGUGCAGGUUUUUGUGCAGAUAGAAGUUUUCAUCUCAUUUGUGUAAAUGCCAUAGAGUGCAGUUGCUGGAUUGUAUGGUUAGUAAAUUAGUCUAUUUUUAUGCUGCUGAUAAAGACAUACAAGAGACUGGCUAACUUAUAAAGAAGCAGAGGUUUAAUGGACUCACAGUUCCGUGUGGCUGGGGAGGCCUCACAACCAUGGUGGAAAGGGAAAGACAUGUCUUAUAUGGCUGCGGGCAAAAGAGAAUGAGAGCCAAUGAAAGGGGUUUCCCCCUAUAAAACCAUCAGAUCUCAUAAGACUUAUUCACUACCUCGAGAACAGUAUGGGGGAAACUACCCCCAUCAUUCAAUUAUCUCCCACUGGGCCCCUCCACAACAUGUGGAAAUUAUGAGAGCUACAAUUCAAGAUGAGAUUUGGUGGGGACACAGCCAAUCAUAUUAGUAAGAAUAUGCUUACUUCUGUAAAAAGCUGCCAAACUCUCUUCUAAAUUGGCUGUAACUGUUUGCAUUUUCAUUAGUAAUGAAUGAGAGUUUCUGUUGUUCCACAUCCUCUCCAGCAUUUGGUGUAAGCAUUUAGAAUUUUAGACAUUCUACUAGGUGUAUCAUGGUAUCUCCUCGUUGUUUUAAUUUAUAAUUUCCUGAUGACAAAUGAUGUUGAGCAUAUUUUAUAUCAUAUAUAUGUACACACACACACAUUCUUUGGUCAGAUGUCUGUUCAGGUUUUCAGCCCAUAUUUUAAUUGGGUUGUUGCUUUGUUCAGUUUAAAGAGUUAUUCAUACAUUUUAGAGCUCAGUCCUUUAUCAGAUAUGUAUUUUGCAAAGAUUUUCUUCCAAUCUGUGGCUUGUAUUUUCAUUCUCCCAACAGUGUCUUUCACAGAGCAGAAGUUUUUAUUUUUAAUAAAGUACACCUAAUCAAUAUUUUCUUUCAUGUAUUGUGCUUCUGGUGUUGCAUCUAGAAAGUCAUCACCAAACCUAAGGUCACCUAGACUUUCUCCCAUAGUAUCUUCUAUUAGUUUUAUAGUUUUUAGCUUUAAAUUUAGGUUUAUGAUUCAUUUUAAAUUAAUUAUUUUUGAAAUGUUUAAGAUCUGUGUAUAGAAUCUUUUUUGCAUAUGAAUAUCCAGUUGUUCCAGCACCAUUUGUUGAGGAUUGCUUUUUCUUCCUGGAAUUAUCAUUGCUCCUUUGUCACAGAGCAGUUGACUGUGUGGAUCUACACACAAAUUUAAGCCAACAGCUGUUGCAGUUCUAUGUUUAUAAUAAUGUUUAAAUUUUGAAUCCAACUAUUAAUAUGAAUUUUAAGCCACUUCUCUGUCUCUUUUGAUUUGAAUGUGGAGGGUGUCAUUUACUUCAGAAGGUAUGUAAAAGAGAUGUGCAACUUAGAAAAAUCAAAAUAAAUUUUAGCAUAAAUAUUCAACACAGAAUGGAAACAGAAUUUUACUCAUGUAGCUAAAUAUGGAGCCCCUAUCUGACUAUAUUAGAAUAUAUAAUUGUUAACAUUAUUUGCCAAGUCAAAAAUAAAGACAUUUGGGAAAUUUUUCCUUUAAGUGCAUUAUUUGUAUUAAAAUAAAGUGAUUGAUAUGCAUGGUGUGAAAUUUAUGUUAAUUAGUAUGAGGCUAAUGAUUGAAAUUUUAAUACUAUUAAAUGUUUUUUCAGAAUAUAAACAUUUAACAAAUCAAUAAAGCAUAAUUAUUGCAGUAAGAGAGUUCACUUCUAGAUCUGACCAUUAUCACCUUUAUAACCCCAUCUU
RNAcentral lists this long non-coding RNA (3505 nucleotides) under Homo sapiens (human). RNAcentral describes it as "HSALNT0408249". The record is from RNAcentral. Lineage: Eukaryota; Metazoa; Chordata; Mammalia; Primates; Hominidae.